RNAcentral lists this transfer RNA (73 nucleotides) under Stegodyphus mimosarum. It matches the Rfam family "tRNA". Rfam says of the family: Transfer RNA (tRNA) molecules are approximately 80 nucleotides in length. Their secondary structure includes four short double-helical elements and three loops (D, anti-codon, and T loops). Lineage: Eukaryota; Metazoa; Arthropoda; Arachnida; Araneae; Eresidae. The record is from Rfam by way of RNAcentral.
GCCUUCGUGGUGUAGUGGUCAGCAUGCUCGACGCGUAACCGAGAGAUCCGUGGUUCGAUUCCCGGCGAAGGCG